ACACACACACACACACACACACACACACACACACACACACACACAGGAGGGGAAGGGGCAGGGAGAGAGACUGCCGACUGCUUUCCCUCAGAUCCUUCAACCCCCAACUCCUAUCACUUCUCCUGUGGCAGCUUCUCCAGGGAUGGAGGCAAAUUCCUCAGUUAGUAGAGGGAGCCGAUUGGUUUAAACACCCUUCCCCCCUUCACAUCUAGAAUGUUAGUGAACAGGAAGUGCUACUUACUCAGAUGUCAGAAAUUAAGUGUGGCUGAUGCUUAGAAUUCCUGGGUGACCUCACUCAGGGUCCCUGCUGUGGCCAGCCUUGAGCUGGAGCCAACUUAAACCAGCUGAAAGACCACUGAGUGCUGGUCUUCCCAGCUCUGCGCUCAGUGAUGCUCGUUUGUAACUUGAACUCUGCUGUCACAGAAGAAUUGACACCGCGGCCCUCAGUAAAAGCCACACGCCAGGGUUAGUCUUGUUCAUUGUUUACCGGGGGACGUCCGGGUGCAGCUGACACCGAGGUAUAAAAACUCCUGUUCGACUCAGGAGAGGUCUAAGUGCAGACGGGGUAGGGGCUGAAGAGAUGGCAAUGAGAAGGAGCGUGACUGGACCACAGAAAGAGGCAUGGAAAAACACACCCACGUUGUGGACCUGUCUCUACUUCCUUUUCUUCUCUUAGCCAGCCUUCCGUACUUCCCAGCAUACUUAGGAGGUGACAGAAGCCAUCACCCAACUCCUUAGUUACCACCUCACUUAAAGGACCGACUUAGGGAAAGACUCGCUGGGUCCCAGCUUCUAGGUGAUCAUUUCAAAUGGCUUUAGUGUUUCAUGCAGGCUCCAAUAAUCAAUCCUACUUGAGGGGGUAAGGCUGUACGACAACAACAUAGACCUCAGGAUCCCUUUCAGGCAGGUGGUACACCCUAGGGGUUGUAGUAAACUUGGCAUAGAUUUACAAAGAUGGUAGCCACACUCUAUUAAAAAAAAAUCGCUUUCAAAAGUCUAGAUUAAGCUUAGAAUGGAGGUAGGGAGCCAGGUGAAUGAGAGCAAAAUCCGAUGGGCCCAGGGAGGGAGGGAGGGCAAGGGCCCUGUGCCAUCAGGGAGCGAGUGGACUGCAAGCUUGUCUCCCUCCAUCAGAAUUUUAGGCUCUUAGUCCCAAGGGCCUAGAAAGGACAGCUAGUCCCAGGACUGUUUUCCUGGCUGCGUUUGGGCCUCUUGUGCCAAUGGAGGGAGAGAAGGAGAUGGCCUGGUGCCCAGGCUGUAGAGAGGAGCUGGCUGGCUCUGGAGUGAACUGGCAUUAUCCAGAUCUCUUGAGUCACAUGAAUCCUUUGACAGUGGGGGGUGGAGAGAGAGAGAGAGAGAGAGAGAGAGAGAGAGAGAGAGAGAGAGAGAGAGAGAGAGAGAGAGAGAUUUCAGGGGUAGAGUCUGCUGGAGAAUAAAUAUCCUAGAGAGUGAGUUGCCUACCAUGUGAGCUCAGAGAUGCUGGGGUCUGGUCCUGCCAUGGUUAAGAUAAUCAACAAGUUAUUGGCGCUCUUGGGGUCCUGGGUUAUAACAGUGAAUAAACAGCUUCUCCCUUAAGGAACAUAGAGGAGUUAAAGCAAUUAUAAAAGAUGAGGCAUUGGGGGUCACGGGGCAUGUAGAUGGGGUGCAAAAUCUUACGUAUCUGAGACAUCUUCAUAGAUGUUUCAUUAGUUAAUUAUUGAUUUUUCAAGACAGGGUUUCUCUGUGUACCUUUGGAGCCUGUCCUGGAACUCAUUCUGUAGACCAUGGCUUUGAACUCACAGAGAUUCCCCUGCCUCUGCCUCCCAAGUGCUGGGACUAAAGACAUACACCACCAUCGCCCAACUGGAUGUUUAUUUGUUUUUAAAAAUUAUUGAUUUUAUUUAUUUUUCGUGUGUAUAGGGGGGCAUGUGCCUGUACACUAGGGUGGACUGCACACAAUUUAUGUGAGUCGGUUCUCUCUCUCUACCCUGUGGGUCCCAAGAUCGAACUCAGGUUAUAAGGCUCAGCAGCAGAGACCUUUACCCACAGCCAUCUUGCCAGCCUAGUGAAAUCAGGCCCAAAUGAGGAAGCUUAAGUAGGGGACUGGGGGUCACAAUGGGGAGAAGUGUGGAGAAUGGUCUUACAGUGUUUAUAAAAGUUUUCAGAAGAAAAGAACUCAUCGUUGUCCACAAAUACAAACCAUCCCAAGCUUUGGAAUCCCUUUUUUGUUUUAUUUUGUUUUGAUUUUUAAGCCCCGUACCCAUUUCCUUAGAGGCUAGACUAGUUUUCACUCCCAGCAUCAUUGUGUGAGGCUUCCGUUUAUCUACAGCUGAGCCAGCCUCCCCGCCCCCAUCUUUUGUUCAGUCCGGUUUCUGUGGUCAAGGCUGUGCAGUCCACUCUCAAACGCUCGCACGCUUCCUCUCCCGGCUUCCCUAUGACCUGACUCAGGGACUUUUUUCCACACUGAAUCAUCAUGGCUGCCCACAUCUGUUGGGUAACCUCCAUUUGUUGUGUCUGGUCCGGUACUAAGAUUUUCCACACUUUAUCUCAGUCAGUCCUUAUUCUUCCCAGGCAGUCUGUGUGCCCAUAUUUGCCUGGAGGGAAUGGCCCUUCUGUUCAUCGCUCAGCUCCAUCGUCUUUCCUGUUUCUUUGUAGCAUUCCCUCGUCACUUUCUAUUACACCUGUCUGUGUUAUUUCUUUUUAGCGUUUGUGAUGCAAACAAUCCUGCUUGUUUCUUAAUUGUUGGUUUUGCUCUGGGGAAGUUUAUACUGGGCAAGUUUUAGAGCUCAUGCAUUGAGGAAGCUGGUGUUCAAAACCACUACACAUCUUAAAAUGGAUGCCCUUGUCUCCAAGACUCUUUCUCAUGGUGGUGUGAUCUUCCACUUGUCUGAUCUCACCAGGCUGAAGUGGGCUGGGUUCCCUUCUGCUGUGGCAUGUCACUUAACUGGUGCUUGUCCUUGUAUUUUGCUUUUGGCAUAGGGCAUGAGGUCCCUUCUCUGCUCUGUGUUAUAUAGCUCCUGACAUGGAGCUAGCUGUCAAAGGGGAGAUGCUACAAAACUGACAGUCACAUUUCUGUCUCUCAAACUGUUGCAGGAAUACUUUGUUUCUUACCACUUUGGGUUGUCCUUCUUAGACACCACUAUGGCACCAAUGACACACAGGAGCGUGGAUCACUUUGGCUUGCCCUCCUCAGGCAUCACUAUGGCACCAGUGACACACAGGACCGUGGAGAUUUGACCCCAAGGAGAAAGAUGCUGGAGGGAUUUUGUGGUCUGCUUCUCCUGGUCACUUUUUAAAGGGAAAUAUAAAGAUAAAAAGUCUUAUUCUACAGAAAUUCUCCAAAAAUGAAUUUUCAACAGAAUCAGGUGUAGAACUGGGUAAAAGUCCAACUUCUGCCCCAAUUCUGGGAAGAACGUGUCUAGUUCUGGCCCUUCUCAGAUUGUGUAUUUAUGGCAUAUAAAUAAAGAAGGAGCUGACAGACAGCAUCUGGGAAGACAGAAAGAAUCUCAGCCUCCAAAAACAAGUCUGAGGUAUGAUGUAUAAAACCCACCAGAAUGUUCUCCGUGUCUCUGACAUUUCAUGGCUAAUCCCAGCACUGCAGCAUUCAACAGUGCGACUUCAUUGAAUUAAGAGCAAUAUUUCUGCGUGAGUGUGAAUGCAUGCUUGGGGCACUGUGUCUCUUUGUCGGUCAGAAGAUAGUUUUUAGGAGCUGGUUCUUUCCUUCCACCACGGAGUUUUGAGGAUCGAACUUAGGUCCCCAGGCUUGGCAGCAGACGCCUUUAUCUCCUGAGGUCUUGCCAGUCCUCAUCACCAUACCCUAAAAACAUUGCCAAGCAAAGCCCAGCAUUGCUGACAGUCUCAGUGGGCACAGUUUGUCCUUCGUCUUACAAAUCCUUAACUUCACUGUCUUUUGCAAAGUCAGUCAGGAUGAUUUAAACGAGUCAUUAUUGAAAUAGAUUUCUAUAUUUAAGACUGUCUCUCACAUUUGAAACAUGAAAUCCUUUAAUAAGAGCAGAUUAAAAAUCCCAAGGAAAUCUGAUUCUGAAAUAGAGGCUCCUACAUUUCUUUCUUUCUUUCUUUCUUUCUUUCUUUCUUUCUUUCUUUCUUUCUUUCUUUUUCUCUUUAAAUGUGUAGCCCAGGAUGACCUGGAACUCAUGAUCCUCCUGCUGCUGUCUUCUUCAGCAAAUCCUAUCCUGAUUGUGCCACCACAACCUGCUUAUCUUUCUUUCCUGAUGGGGGAUGUCUUUCUGUAUAUAUGUUUCUCUUAUUGGUUGAUGAAUAAAAAAACACCGUUUGGCCAAUAGAGACAGGAAGACAGGCAGGACUAGGAGACGAGGAGAAUUCUGGGAAAGACAGGCAGAGAGCGACACCUCGAAGAGAUGCUAUGUAGCCAAGGUAGGUGUAACAGGUCUGGACCUGCCUCCGAUAAGAUAAAACCACGUGGAAAUACAUAGAUUAAUAGCAAUGGGUCAAUAAUUAAGACAGAGCUAGCCAAUAAGAAGCCCUAGCCAUAGGGCUUUAUAUAACAGUUUUUAUAAAUAAUAUAAGUCUUUGUGUGCUUCUUGGGGGCAAGGUGGCUGUGGGACCAGGCGGGACAAGAAAACUCCAGCAACACUUUCCUGCUAAGAGAAAUUUUUCUAAAGUAUAAUCUCAGAAGCCUGUUGUAUGCAGGGGCUGCAGUAAUGAAACUGCUGACAUGCUCUCCAUAAUAUGGUUAAUGUUUUUAUUGUAGGAGAGAGGGAGAGAGAGAGAGAGAGAGAGAGAGAGAGAGAGAGAGAGAGAGAGAGAGAGAGAGAAACAGCCAGAGGCAUCUGGAAGAGUCCAGAGCAGAGAGAGCAAGAAGUGGACUGAACACAGAAGACUGGACAUGACCAGGGCUAGGGAGUGGGAAAGAGGAGUGGCGAUAAUAAGAGAAAACAUAGUGACAGGAUAGGAAGGGAAAUGAGAGUCAGGGUAAGACAAAAUAGUGAGCUAGGUUAUAAGAAGGAUGAGUAGCGGGGCUGGAGAAAUAACUCAGAGGUUAAGAGCACUGGCUGCUCUUCCAGAGGUCCUGAGUUCAAUUCCCAGCAACCACAUGGUAGCUCACAACCAUCUGUAAUGAGAUCUGGUGCCCUCUUCUGAACUGCAGGCAUACAUGCAGACAGAAUGCUGUAUACAUAAUAAAUAAAUAAAUUAAAAAAAAAAAAAGGAUGAGUAUCUGUGGGUGGGAGAUACUCCCACCUGUGAGCUGCGGGGAGUUUAGGGUAGGGGAGGAGGCAAUAAGGGAUGCUAGCAUGGACUUUGACAUGUACAACAGGUACUCCUGAUCCUAAGGGGCCUGGAGGCAGCAUGGGCUUUGAUAGACACGGGGAGCCAUGUGUCCCUUCUGCCAGAGUUAAGGGAAAUGACUCCUCUUGGCAGAUGGGACUUUGUGUUUCACAAGUUCCUGAGGAAUGCUGGCUUUCAUCCAACUGCCAGAAAUCUUGCAGUCCAGUUUAAGUUCAUUUUUGAAUAUUUGGACCGGCUGUGAGACCUAACACCGAUCUGACCAGUAAACAGAGCAGGUAAUAUCACAGGCCUGGCAGACAAGGAAAUGCUAAAGACUAUUGGAACAAUGGACCCCAAAGAAACUGGAAUUUUCAUGAAUCUCAUGCUGGGGGAAAGGAAAAGGCCCCAGCCAGAGGGGGAACUUGUCUCCAGGAAAAGAAGCCACACAGCUCCAACUACGAGUCAGACACUCACAGGAUGAAUCUGAAGCCCAGAUAAGGUUGGGUCAAUGUCGAGAUUUUUACAGCCCAGAUGUGGCUUUGAAUUCUGUUGUGAAGACGAAGUGAAAUGAUGCAUGUUACAUACUGAAAACAAAACGAUGCGUGUACGAUGCUAAAAACAAGAGGCUUCCUGCCCUAAGUCAAGAACAGAAUGCCAACCAGGCUGAACUUCGUCAUCACCAGGGCCUUCAAGUUUCCAUUGCCUCUCAAGAGUUCAGUUCCAACACAGCAACACCGUAACCACCACCAACCAGGGCCAGACAACAUUUAUGGCUUUACUCAAAGCCACUAUAGUCAUUUUUAAAUUGAUUUUUCAUAAAGCAAAUCACAUUCUUAAAAUACUUGUGAACUUCACCUUUGGUCUCUGAGAACUUUGUUUUUCAUUUACACAGGGAUGUAUUUUAUUUUGAUAAAAUCCGUUCCUUACUUCUCUGUUCCAACUCUUGUCCCUCUCCUCAUAUCUUACUCAAUGUCAUUUGUCUGUCUGUCUAUCUAUCUAUCUAUCUAU
This 6231-nucleotide long non-coding RNA is filed under the name Cricetulus griseus (Chinese hamster). RNAcentral describes it as "lncRNA (ENSCGRG00015037544.1)". The stretch from base 5990 to 6035 matches the Rfam family "Histone 3' UTR stem-loop". The record is from RNAcentral. Lineage: Eukaryota; Metazoa; Chordata; Mammalia; Rodentia; Cricetidae.